UUAAUCGUCACCACAUGCAGUCACCAUAAACCACUGCACGCCAGAGAAGUACAAGCGAAAAGCUAGAAACUCAAAGGACUUGGCGGUGUCCCAUAUCAACCUAGAGGAGCCUGUCCCAUAAUCGAUACUCCACGUUAAACCCAACCUGCAUUUGCCUGCCAGCCUAUAUACCGCCGUCGCCAGCCUGCCUAAUGAUAGUCACACCGCAGGCAAAAGAGGCCCUCCUCCUAAUACGUCAGGUCAAGGUGUAGCUAAUAUACAGGUCACAGAUGGGCUACAUUUUCUUAAUACAAGAAAACCACCGCAUGCACCAUGAAACACAGGCCGAAAGGCGGAUUUAGCAGUAAGUCGGACAAGAAAGUCCAGCUGAAACUUGCUCUGGGACAC
This 387-nucleotide ribosomal RNA is filed under the name Ptyodactylus guttatus (Sinai fan-fingered gecko). Its description in RNAcentral is "partial 12S ribosomal RNA". It matches the Rfam family "Bacterial small subunit ribosomal RNA", at positions 832 to 1382 of the family's 1533-position model. The record is from RNAcentral. Lineage: Eukaryota; Metazoa; Chordata; Lepidosauria; Squamata; Phyllodactylidae.